This 601-nucleotide ribosomal RNA is filed under the name fungal endophyte. RNAcentral's name for it is "eukaryotic LSU rRNA". The stretch from base 182 to 335 matches the Rfam family "5.8S ribosomal RNA". Lineage: Eukaryota; Fungi. The record is from RNAcentral.
CAUUAAAGAGUUCUAUAACUCCCAAACCCAUGUGAACAUACCUAACGUUGCCUCGGCAGGUCGCACCUACCUUGUAGCACCCUACCCUGUAGGGCCUACCCGGGAGGUGCGGGUAAGCCUGCCGGCGGCCCACCAAACUCUGUUUGAUAUUGAAUUCUGAACCUAUAACUAAAUAAGUUAAAACUUUCAACAACGGAUCUCUUGGUUCUGGCAUCGAUGAAGAACGCAGCGAAAUGCGAUAAGUAAUGUGAAUUGCAGAAUUCAGUGAAUCAUCGAAUCUUUGAACGCAUAUUGCGCCCAUUAGUAUUCUAGUGGGCAGGACCGUUCGAGCGUCAUUUCAACCCUUAAGCCUUCGUUGCUUAGUGUUGGGAGCCUACGGCAACGUAGCUCCUCAAAGUUAGUGGCGGAGUUGGUUCACACUCUAGACGUAGUAAUUUUUUAUCUCGCCUAUUAGUUGGACUAAUCCCCUGCCGUAAAACCCCUAAUUUAUCAAGGUUGACCUCGAAUCGGUUCAGACAAACUCGCUAAAUUGAAGCAUCUUAGUCAGCGAAGGAAAAGAAACCAACAGGGAUUGCCCUAGUAACGGCGAGUGAAGCGGCAA